This 827-nucleotide ribosomal RNA is filed under the name Vreelandella lutescens. RNAcentral describes it as "bacterial SSU rRNA". It matches the Rfam family "Bacterial small subunit ribosomal RNA", at positions 78 to 904 of the family's 1533-position model. The record is from RNAcentral. Lineage: Bacteria; Pseudomonadati; Pseudomonadota; Gammaproteobacteria; Oceanospirillales; Halomonadaceae.
GCUUGCUUCUUGGGUGACGAGCGGCGGACGGGUGAGUAAUGCAUAGGAAUCUGCCCGAUAGUGGGGGAUAACCUGGGGAAACCCAGGCUAAUACCGCAUACGUCCUACGGGAGAAAGGGGGCUCCGGCUCCCGCUAUUGGAUGAGCCUAUGUCGGAUUAGCUAGUUGGUGAGGUAAAGGCUCACCAAGGCGACGAUCCGUAGCUGGUCUGAGAGGAUGAUCAGCCACAUCGGGACUGAGACACGGCCCGAACUCCUACGGGAGGCAGCAGUGGGGAAUAUUGGACAAUGGGCGCAAGCCUGAUCCAGCCAUGCCGCGUGUGUGAAGAAGGCCUUCGGGUUGUAAAGCACUUUCAGCGAGGAAGAACGCCUAGCGGUUAAUACCCGCUAGGAAAGACAUCACUCGCAGAAGAAGCACCGGCUAACUCCGUGCCAGCAGCCGCGGUAAUACGGAGGGUGCAAGCGUUAAUCGGAAUUACUGGGCGUAAAGCGCGCGUAGGUGGCUUGAUAAGCCGGUUGUGAAAGCCCCGGGCUCAACCUGGGAACGGCAUCCGGAACUGUCAAGCUAGAGUGCAGGAGAGGAAGGUAGAAUUCCCGGUGUAGCGGUGAAAUGCGUAGAGAUCGGGAGGAAUACCAGUGGCGAAGGCGGCCUUCUGGACUGACACUGACACUGAGGUGCGAAAGCGUGGGUAGCAAACAGGAUUAGAUACCCUGGUAGUCCACGCCGUAAACGAUGUCGACCAGCCGUUGGGUGCCUAGCGCACUUUGUGGCGAAGUUAACGCGAUAAGUCGACCGCCUGGGGAGUACGGCCGCAAGGUUAAAACUCAA